CGGUAAUUCCAGCUCCAAUAGCGUAUACUAAUGUUGUUGCAGUUAAAAAGCUCGUAGUCGGAUUUCAGUUAGUUGUGUAUUGUCCUAUUUCGAGAAUGCACAAUCGACUUCUUUGAUGCAAAACUUCAUCUGAUUAAUUUCCGGUGUAUGCCUAGCAUCUCUUUUACUUUGAGAAAAUUAGAGUGUUCAGAGCAGGUUCUUGCCUGAAUAUUACUCUUGGAAUAAUAUUAUAGGACUUUGGUCUAAUUAUGUUGGUGUUGUUGGACCGGAGUAAUGAUUGAUAGGGACGGUUGGGGUGAUUCAUAUUGCAAAGCGAGAGGUGGAAUUCUUGGACCUUUGUAGGAUGAACAACUGCGAAAGCAUUUCACUAGGACGUUCCCGUUGAUCAAGAACGAAAGUUGGGUCAUCGAAGACGAUCAGAUACCGUCGUAGUCUCAACCACAAACUAUGCCAGCUAGGGAUGGGAAGUCGUUUAUUUAUGACACUUUCCGCACCUUAUGAGAAAUCAAAGCAUUUGGGUUCCGGGGGGAGUAUGGUCGCAAGGCUGAAACUUAAAGGAAUUGACGGGAGGGCACCACCAGAAGUGGAGCCUGUGGCUUAAUUUGACUCAACACGGGAAAACUUACCAGGUCCGGACAUAGUAAGGAUUGACAGAUUGAAAGCUCUUUCUUGAUUCUAUGGGUGGUGGUGCAUGGCCGUUCUUAGUUGGUGGAGUGAUUUGUCUGGUUAAUUCCGUUAACGAACGAGACCUCAGCCUGCUAAAUAGUGUCGUUUUCUUUUGAGGACUGCAUCUUCUUAGAGGGACUACUUCGAAUAUAAACGAGAGGAAGCUUGAGGCAAUAACAGGUCUGUGAUGCCCUUAGAUGUUCUGGGCUGCACACGGGCUACACUGGUGCAUUCAACAAGCUCUACGAAGAUUGAUCGAAGGAUCCGUCUAACCUUUGAAUUUGCACCGUGCUUGGGAUAGACUUUUGCAAUUUUAGUCUUCAACGAGGAAUUCCUAGUAAACGCAAGUCAUCAGCUUGCAUUGAUUACGUCCCUGCCCUUUGUACACACCGCCCGUCGCUCCUACCGAUUGAAUGAUUCGGUAAGCAUUCAGGAUCGGGUUCCAUUUUCCCUUACCGGACAAUGAUCCCCGAGAAUUUAUUCAAACCUAAUCAUUUAGAGGAAGGAGAAGUCGUAACAAGGUAACC
Molecule: ribosomal RNA, 1193 nt
Filed under: uncultured Rhizaria
Lineage: Eukaryota
Description: bacterial SSU rRNA
Rfam family: Eukaryotic small subunit ribosomal RNA
Source: RNAcentral